This 390-nucleotide ribosomal RNA is filed under the name uncultured bacterium. RNAcentral describes it as "bacterial SSU rRNA". It matches the Rfam family "Bacterial small subunit ribosomal RNA", at positions 30 to 421 of the family's 1533-position model. The record is from RNAcentral.
AUUGAACGCUGGCGGCAUGCCUUACACAUGCAAGUCGAACGGCAGCACGGGAGCAAUCCUGGUGGCGAGUGGCGAACGGGUGAGUAAUAUAUCGGAACGUGCCCAGUCGUGGGGAUAACGUAGCGAAAGCUACGCUAAUACCGCAUACGAUCUACGGAUGAAAGCGGGGGAUCGCAAGACCUCGCGCGAUUGGAGCGGCCGAUAUCAGAUUAGGUAGUUGGUGAGGUAAAGGCUCACCAAGCCGACGAUCUGUAGCUGGUCUGAGAGGACGUCCAGCCACACUGGGACUGAGACACGGCCCAGACUCCUACGGGAGGCAGCAGUGGGGAAUUUUGGACAAUGGGCGCAAGCCUGAUCCAGCAAUGCCGCGUGCAGGAUGAAGGCCUUCGG